UGUCAUCAAAGAGGCUGAGCCACAGUCGUUUCCAGCAAGAGUGGCUUCUAGCUAAAAGCAAGAGCAACCUGGGUCCUGUCUGCAACAUGGAUGAGCUCACUCUGCACCGGGUUGAUGCUGAGCAAAACAUAUAGCACACAGAACACAGCAAGCUCAAAGGCUGGAAGGCAGAGGCUGCAAGAACAUAAUCCACAUGAACGAAAUAUUGGGCAAGAUCAUUGGAUUAAUUCAAGUCAUACAAGGACUGAUUUUAUCUUGUUCUUCAGAUCCAGGGUGACCUCACUUCAUCAUUGGCAGAGAUUUUCAAAACUGUUCGAAAAUGCAGAAAAUCAGAGCAAGAGCACAUUAAUCAUAGAAAUUCGAAGGGGAAGAGAUCUGUUCAGUUGGUCCACUCCCGGAUUGCCAAGAUGGUGCCUCAUCCACACGAUUCAGUCCAACUUAAAGGGACCAAAGUGAUAAGCCUCCCUCCCCACUUCCCUGAAGGGAAUCCUGAACUACUUUCUUUGCUGGGUUUUGGAAGAUAAUGGGGGUUUUAGGCAAGACUUGAACAUAAUCACGCUCUAAAAUGGCUAGUCUUCAAAUCGUCUUUGAUCCAAAGAUCAUUUAGAUGCUAUUUUUUUUGCAAUGCUCCUUCUACUGCCCUGUCACCAGACCAAAGUACAAGUGUCUGCUUGUGUCAAGCACUGCCCACACUUGGAGAUACGGCCUUUAAAGGGGUGUUGAGUUAAAAAUGAGCCGCUAGUGCAUUCUAAUGAACCCCACUAGCGUUCUAAUCCAGUCUGACUGGUGUCCUUCAUUGAAGAGGAAACGAGGCCACACAAAGACAUACCAGGCACGCACACACACAGAGAAGAAAGGCCAUGUGAAGACACAAUGAAAAUAUGACCAUUUUUAAGUCAAGAAGAGAGGCCUCAGAAGAACCUGAACCUGACAACACCUUGACUUGGACUCCUAGCCUCCGGAGCUGUGAGAAGACAAAUUUCUAUGGUCUGUGUUAUGACAGAGCUAGCAAACUAAUAUAGUCAUCAUGCGGAUUCCUACGUGUGUAUAAUCAGAAGAGAGUCAUAGAAACCAGUUAAUGGAAAGAAGCCUUAGAUUUGGAAUGUCCCCUUAGCUCUUGUAAGAAGAAAUAAAAUCAGGCUGCCUAAGGAUGCCACUGAACGCUGUGUGCAGAUCUUUCCUAAUAUGUAGGGUGUGCCUCCAAAGCUUGCUUCAUGUGUGUAUAGAAACAACGCCCAGACUCACUAAGUCAGCGACGACUAAUCACUAUGACAAAUUUAUGUGGAAUAAAUCGACAAAGUCAGAAGAUCGUUAAAUAUACCUCUAACAUGUUUGGCUUUGUCUGUAAAAAGUUGAAAGACAAGGUAGCAUGGGCAAUGUUCUCUUUAAAGAUUCCAAUUGAGUAUAAUUAUCCUGC
This is a long non-coding RNA of Capra hircus (goat), 1417 nucleotides long. The record is from Ensembl. Lineage: Eukaryota; Metazoa; Chordata; Mammalia; Artiodactyla; Bovidae.